This 848-nucleotide ribosomal RNA is filed under the name Staphylococcus hominis. Its description in RNAcentral is "bacterial SSU rRNA". It matches the Rfam family "Bacterial small subunit ribosomal RNA", at positions 55 to 887 of the family's 1533-position model. The record is from RNAcentral. Lineage: Bacteria; Bacillati; Bacillota; Bacilli; Caryophanales; Staphylococcaceae.
AUGCAGUCGAGCGAACAGACGAGGAGCUUGCUCCUUUGACGUUAGCGGCGGACGGGUGAGUAACACGUGGGUAACCUACCUAUAAGACUGGGAUAACUUCGGGAAACCGGAGCUAAUACCGGAUAAUAUUUCGAACCGCAGGUUCGAUAGUGAAAGAUGGCUCUGCUAUCACUUAUAGAUGGACCUGCGCCGUAUUAGCUAGUUGGUAAGGUAACGGCUUACCAAGGCAACGAUACGUAGCCGACCUGAGAGGGUGAUCGGCCACACUGGAACUGAGACACGGUCCAGACUCCUACGGGAGGCAGCAGUAGGGAAUCUUCCGCAAUGGGCGAAAGCCUGACGGAGCAACGCCGCGUGAGUGAUGAAGGUCUUCGGAUCGUAAAACUCUGUUAUUAGGGAAGAACAAACGUGUAAGUAACUGUGCACGUCUUGACGGUACCUAAUCAGAAAGCCACGGCUAACUACGUGCCAGCAGCCGCGGUAAUACGUAGGUGGCAAGCGUUAUCCGGAAUUAUUGGGCGUAAAGCGCGCGUAGGCGGUUUUUUAAGUCUGAUGUGAAAGCCCACGGCUCAACCGUGGAGGGUCAUUGGAAACUGGAAAACUUGAGUGCAGAAGAGGAAAGUGGAAUUCCAUGUGUAGCGGUGAAAUGCGCAGAGAUAUGGAGGAACACCAGUGGCGAAGGCGACUUUCUGGUCUGUAACUGACGCUGAUGUGCGAAAGCGUGGGGAUCAAACAGGAUUAGAUACCCUGGUAGUCCACGCCGUAAACGAUGAGUGCUAAGUGUUAGGGGGUUUCCGCCCCUUAGUGCUGCAGCUAACGCAUUAAGCACUCCGCCUGGGAGUACGACC